Molecule: long non-coding RNA, 174 nt
Organism: Syngnathus acus (greater pipefish)
Lineage: Eukaryota; Metazoa; Chordata; Actinopteri; Syngnathiformes; Syngnathidae
Exons: 4
Source: RefSeq, a predicted model, not a curated record
AGAUUAUAAUAAUAUUAACUAGAAAAUGCAAUUUCUGGAGAAAUUGCAUGUGAAGGCGAAGACUUUGAAUAACCUCUUGGGGAAUGCUGCCGAAUGAUGUUGAAACGAGUUGAAUUACUUGAGAAAUUAAGCUCAGUGGCCUAGUGGUAGAGUGUCCGCCCUGAGACUGGAAGG